GGCCUAACACAUGCAAGUCGAACGAUGAACCUCACUUGUGGGGGGAUUAGUGGCGAACGGGUGAGUAACACGUGAGUAACCUGCCCUUAACUCUGGGAUAAGCCUGGGAAACUGGGUCUAAUACCGGAUAUGACUCCUCAUCGCAUGGUGGGGGGUGGAAAGCUUUAUUGUGGUUUUGGAUGGACUCGCGGCCUAUCAGCUUGUUGGUGAGGUAAUGGCUCACCAAGGCGACGACGGGUAGCCGGCCUGAGAGGGUGACCGGCCACACUGGGACUGAGACACGGCCCAGACUCCUACGGGAGGCAGCAGUGGGGAAUAUUGCACAAUGGGCGAAAGCCUGAUGCAGCGACGCCGCGUGAGGGAUGACGGCCUUCGGGUUGUAAACCUCUUUCAGUAGGGAAGAAGCGAAAGUGACGGUACCUGCAGAAGAAGCGCCGGCUAACUACGUGC
Molecule: ribosomal RNA, 450 nt
Filed under: uncultured Actinomycetes bacterium
Lineage: Bacteria; Bacillati; Actinomycetota; Actinomycetes
Description: bacterial SSU rRNA
Rfam family: Bacterial small subunit ribosomal RNA
Source: RNAcentral